GAUUCAGCGGCGGACGGGUGAGUAAUGCCUAGGAAUCUGCCUGGUAGUGGGGGACAACGUUUCGAAAGGAACGCUAAUACCGCAUACGUCCUACGGGAGAAAGCAGGGGACCUUCGGGCCUUGCGCUAUCAGAUGAGCCUAGGUCGGAUUAGCUAGUUGGUGGGGUAAUGGCUCACCAAGGCGACGAUCCGUAACUGGUCUGAGAGGAUGAUCAGUCACACUGGAACUGAGACACGGUCCAGACUCCUACGGGAGGCAGCAGUGGGGAAUAUUGGACAAUGGGCGAAAGCCUGAUCCAGCCAUGCCGCGUGUGUGAAGAAGGUCUUCGGAUUGUAAAGCACUUUAAGUUGGGAGGAAGGGCAGUAAGCUAAUACCUUGCUGUUUUGACGUUACCGACAGAAUAAGCACCGGCUAACUCUGUGCCAGCAGCCGCGGUAAUACAGAGGGUGCAAGCGUUAAUCGGAAUUACUGGGCGUAAAGCGCGCGUAGGUGGUUUGUUAAGUUGGAUGUGAAAGCCCCGGGCUCAACCUGGGAACUGCAUCCAAAACUGGCAAGCUAGAGUACGGUAGAGGGUGGUGGAAUUUCCUGUGUAGCGGUGAAAUGCGUAGAUAUAGGAAGGAACACCAGUGGCGAAGGCGACCACCUGGACUGAUACUGACACUGAGGUGCGAAAAGCGUGGGGAGCAAACAGGAUUAGAUACCCUGGUAGUCCACGCCGUAAACGAUGUCAACUAGCCGUUGGAAUCCUUGAGA
This 753-nucleotide ribosomal RNA is filed under the name Pseudomonas sp. ISW_8. RNAcentral describes it as "bacterial SSU rRNA". It matches the Rfam family "Bacterial small subunit ribosomal RNA", at positions 89 to 837 of the family's 1533-position model. The record is from RNAcentral. Lineage: Bacteria; Pseudomonadati; Pseudomonadota; Gammaproteobacteria; Pseudomonadales; Pseudomonadaceae.